GACGAACGCUGGCGGCGUGCCUAAUACAUGCAAGUUGAGCGAUGAAGAUUGGUGCUUGCACCCAUUUGAAGAGCAGCGAACGGGUGAGUAACGCGUGGGGAAUCUGCCUUUGAGCGGGGGACAACAUUUGGAAACGAAUGCUAAUACCGCAUAAUAACUUUAAACAUAAGUUUUAAGUUUGAAAGAUGCAAUUGCAUCACUCAAAGAUGAUCCCGCGUUGUAUUAGCUAGUUGGUGAGGUAAAGGCUCACCAAGGCGAUGAUACAUAGCCGACCUGAGAGGGUGCUCGGCAAAAUUGGGACGGGGACACGGCCCAACACACUACGGGAGGCAGCAGUAGGGAAUCUUCGGCAAUGGACGAAAUGCGGAACGAGCAACGCCGCGUGAGUGAAGAAGGCUUUCGGAUCGUAAAACUCUGGUGGUAGAGAAGAACGUUGGUGAGAGUGGAAAGCUAAUCAAGUGACGGUAACUACCCAGAAAGGGACGGCUAACUACGUG
RNAcentral lists this ribosomal RNA (497 nucleotides) under uncultured bacterium. RNAcentral's name for it is "partial 16S ribosomal RNA". It matches the Rfam family "Bacterial small subunit ribosomal RNA", at positions 28 to 507 of the family's 1533-position model. The record is from RNAcentral.